CCGAAACCAGGUGAUCUAUCCAUGAGCAGGUUGAAGCUUAGGUAAAACUAAGUGGAGGACCGAACCGUAGUACGCUAAAAAGUGCCCGGAUGACUUGUGGAUAGCGGUGAAAUUCCAAUCGAACCUGGAGAUAGCUGGUUCUCUUCGAAAUAGCUUUAGGGCUAGCGUAUAGUAUUGUUUAAUGGGGGUAGAGCACUGAAUGUGGAAUGGCGGCAUCUAGCUGUACUGACUAUAAUCAAACUCCGAAUACCAUUAAAAUUAAGCUAUGCAGUCGGAACGUGGGUGAUAACGUCCACGCUCGCGAGGGAAACAACCCAGAUCGUCAGCUAAGGUCCCAAAAUUGUGUUAAGUGAGG
Molecule: ribosomal RNA, 355 nt
Filed under: Marichromatium gracile
Lineage: Bacteria; Pseudomonadati; Pseudomonadota; Gammaproteobacteria; Chromatiales; Chromatiaceae
Description: bacterial LSU rRNA
Rfam family: Bacterial large subunit ribosomal RNA
Source: RNAcentral